GCAAGUCGAACGGCAGCAUAGGAGCUUGCUCCUGAUGGCGAGUGGCGAACGGGUGAGUAAUAUAUCGGAACGUGCCCUAGAGUGGGGGAUAACUAGUCGAAAGACUAGCUAAUACCGCAUACGAUCUAAGGAUGAAAGUGGGGGAUCGCAAGACCUCAUGCUCCUGGAGCGGCCGAUAUCUGAUUAGCUAGUUGGUGGGGUAAAAGCCUACCAAGGCGACGAUCAGUAGCUGGUCUGAGAGGACGACCAGCCACACUGGGACUGAGACACGGCCCAGACUCCUACGGGAGGCAGCAGUGGGGAAUUUUGGACAAUGGGGGCAACCCUGAUCCAGCAAUGCCGCGUGAGUGAAGAAGGCCUUCGGGUUGUAAAGCUCUUUUGUCAGGGAAGAAACGGUUUUGGCUAAUAUCCAGAACUAAUGACGGUACCUGAAGAAUAAGCACCGGCUAACUACGUGCCAGCAGCCGCGGUAAUACGUAGGGUGCAAGCGUUAAUCGGAAUUACUGGGCGUAAAGCGUGCGCAGGCGGUUGUGUAAGACAGAUGUGAAAUCCCCGGGCUCAACCUGGGAAUUGCAUUUGUGACUGCACGGCUAGAGUGUGUCAGAGGGGGGUAGAAUUCCACGUGUAGCAGUGAAAUGCGUAGAUAUGUGGAGGAAUACCGAUGGCGAAGGCAGCCCCCUGGGAUAACACUGACGCUCAUGCACGAAAGCGUGGGGAGCAAACAGGAUUAGAUACCCUGGUAGUCCACGCCCUAAACGAUGUCUACUAGUUGUCGGGUCUUAAUUGACUUGGUAACGCAGCUAACGCGUGAAGUAGACCGCCUGGGGAGUACGGUCGCAAGAUUAAAACUCAAAGGAAUUGACGGGGACCCGCACAAGCGGUGGAUGAUGUGGAUUAAUUCGAUGCAACGCGAAAAACCUUACCUACCCUUGACAUGGUCGGAAUCCUGAAGAGAUUUGGGAGUGCUCGAAAGAGAACCGGCGCACAGGUGCUGCAUGGCUGUCGUCAGCUCGUGUCGUGAGAUUUGGGUUAAGUCCCGCAACGAGCGCAACCCUUGUCAUUAGUUGCUACGAAAGGGCACUCUAAUGAGACUGCCGGUGACAAACCGGAGGAAGGUGGGGAUGACGUCAAGUCCUCAUGGCCCUUAUGGGUAGGGCUUCACACGUCAUACAAUGGUACAUACAGAGGGCCGCCAACCCGCGAGGGGGAGCUAAUCCCAGAAAGUGUAUCGUAGUCCGGAUUGUAGUCUGCAACUCGACUACAUGAAGUUGGAAUCGCUAGUAAUCGCGGAUCAGCAUGUCGCGGUGAAUACGUUCCCGGGUCUUGUACACACCGCCCGUCACACCAUGGGAGCGGGUUUUACCAGAAGUGGGUAGCCUAACCGCAAGGAGGGC
RNAcentral lists this ribosomal RNA (1394 nucleotides) under Herbaspirillum seropedicae. Its description in RNAcentral is "bacterial SSU rRNA". It matches the Rfam family "Bacterial small subunit ribosomal RNA". The record is from RNAcentral. Lineage: Bacteria; Pseudomonadati; Pseudomonadota; Betaproteobacteria; Burkholderiales; Oxalobacteraceae.